UUACUAUGUUUUACUCCAUGUUAAUCUAGUUAAUGUACUAAUGUAAUAAUACAUGAUGAUGAUGAUGAUGAUGAUCAACUUUCCAAUUACAAUUUAGGUUUUAUUUUUUUUACUUCUUUAAAUUGAUUUUUUCUCUUGUGAUGAAACUCUUGUUAAUUGGUAACUUUGAAUGUUUAAUGAUUGGAUACACAUAAUAAAUGGAUACUUUGGAUUCGCGUGGCAAAAGGUUAACCAUAGGUAAAUUUGGAGAAACAAAUUAACCAUUUUCAACAUUAUCUCUUCCACUCCACCCCAAGAUCACCACCAUCACCACCACACCAAAGGAAACCUGUUGUUUUCUCCUCAUCUUGUUCGUUUUUUUUUCUCUCUCUCUCAAAUGUUUAUUAGAAAAUGAUGAUGAUGAUGAUGAUGUUGAUUCGCUCUGUGAAUUUUAACAUUAUUAUCUUGCCGUUAUCCAAAUGCUGUUCUUUGCUCAUCAUCAUCAUCUACUUUUUCUAUAUCUACUCUUUUCCCUAUCAUAAUCACCAUCUUCUUAAUAUUUAUCUUCUCCUUAUUAUCUUUCUCUAUCUCUAUCUUAUAUAUAGUUUUUUAAUACCUUCUCCUGUUAUUAUUAUGCCUUAAUUAUCUUGAUGCUUGAUUCCUAAUUGAAAGGUUCAUUGAUUAUCCAUCUACGAUUCAACCCACUAACCACAGGAACCACAAGAGUAACAGCAACAACACCACAACAACAACAAUGUUAUCGUUGAUUCUCGUAGUUAGUUAGUUAACUAAUCAACUACACACAAUCAAUAUGAUGAUGAUUAUCAAUAUAAGAUGAUGUCCAAGACCAUUUGGUUGUUGUUGGCUCCUUCUAAAGGUCAAAGGCAAGGUUAACACGGUCAAUCAGACACGUUUAAUGUUAAAGAUUAUCAUCAUCAUCCUCAUCAUCUCUUGAACGUGCCCCAAAAAAAACAACAACAACAACCACGGGAAAAGGCUUGACAGUCCAGUCUAUUUAAGCUACCGAACUACUUUAUGUAAGGCUUUAAAAACGGAAACGACAACGAAGAUAAUUAGAUCUGUUUGAUGUGUGUAGUUAACUGGUAAACAUUAUCAAUCUAAUGUCAUGUAAUCAUUGAUUGUUAAACUUUAACUAAUGAUAUUGAUGAUGUUUGGUAAUUUCUUUGACCAUGUAAUUACUGAUUACUUUUGAUUAUUUUUAGUUUGCAUCAUCAGUUACACUCAUCUGAUUGUUGUUGUUGUUUUUGUUGAUCUACAUAUUAUUAUUAGACUUGCAAACAUUAAUCGGAAGUUGUUGUUACAAUCAUUACGAUGUUUAAUUUUAUACUAUUAUCACCAUCAUCUAAACAAAAAGACCUUAAAAUUGUUUCCGUUUUUUGUUAAAUUACUGAUGAUCAUUUUUAAUCAUCAGCUAAUCAUUUUGUUUGUUACUCUUAUUGUUUAACGGUUAAUCGAUGGCCCAUAUCAAUGAGAUCUCUGCCUUUUCUGUGAACUUUAAUCUCUUACCAAAUUUGGAUCCAUUUAAAUAAACGGAGGAACCAAAGUGAUUCAUAUAUAUAUAAUAUUAAUACAAUAUAAUGCAAACAAUCAACAAUCAACCGUGAGAAUAUUGUCUCUUGCUAUCAUCAUUAUCAUCUUUCUCAUCCCAUCUUCAUCCACUCUCUCUCUCUCUCUAUGGUUAUAAUAUUAUCGGUAUCCAUCAUCAACCACCUCCACCUCCUCCAUCAUAAUGGAUUCAUCAGAUUAAUUCAUCUGUAAAUUUAGAUAUUGUUAACUAUUUUUUUUCUAACUCAAAAGACUAACCCUGAUUAAGGUAAUUAGUUAACUAAUAAUUCAUUUGAACAGUCAAGACUUUUGGAUUAUUUUUCCCAACAACUAUUAUCUUGUCUUUUAAUUGUUAAUCGUUUUUCGUUGUAACUAUUCAAUUGGUGAUGGUGGAUUAAGAUAAUGGAAGUAUUAUCCUUCAUUCUCAUAGAAUUUUCUUCUUUAAAGUGAAAGAGAAUUGAGAUUAUCAAAGGAGAAAAGAGACAAAGUUUAUUCUUUUUUUUCGUCACUUGUUUUGCUCGAACAUUUUUACACUCUUUUCAAUUCUUUUUCUUAAAUGUAACAGGUUGAAAAGGAACACAAAGGUUACAAAAAGGCUCGAAGCAAUUUCGAAUAACUUUUUUUCUCUCCAAAGAACAAAAAAAGAAAACAAGUUGAUAUCUUCGAAUGUUAAUUGUCUCUGUUGGAUUAUCUUCUUUAUCUUCUUGUGGCCGCAUCAUUUUCUUAGAGAUAAAUUGGUUAAUGAGAGUAUAAGUUUCUACAAGUGACCAAAGGAAAGGACCGAGAAUGACAGACAACAAAUACAAUGACCAUUGCAAGAAAAAAAAAACGAGAGCAAAUGAAAGAGUAUUUUCCUUGGUCUUUCUCUUGUUAUUAUUGUGUCUCAAUGACCAGGCACACGAGGUCAUCAGAUUGUUAAAGGUCAACCCAAGGAAAAGGAUAAACAGUUAAAAUGUUGCAGACUUCAAACUCUUUUGGUUAACAGAGUAAAAUGAGAGAGGUAAAUUCCGUGGCACGCGCCAAUUGUGCACGUUAUUAACCAUCUUACCUUUUGCAUUACCAGUUAUGAAGGGGGAAGUGGUAUUGAUGAGGUAAAGUACGGAACGCGGGUGAGUAUGGAUAGAGAGAAAUUGACGAAAUAAAAAAAAACAAUAAAAACACCUUUUUUUCUUCUUUCUGACCGAUGAUGACCCAGUUCGACAUGGAAACUUCUGUCUCUUUUACAUCACAUUUCCUCACCUCCCACCACCAUAACCUUUCACCUCUGAUCACUUUGUCUUGUUCAUCCUUUACCUCCGAUGUAAAUCCUUUGUUUACAAUCUAAUCGGAAGCUAAAUCGCUCAUUGAAAUGAUAAACACAAUCAAUUGGCAGUGAUGCAAACAAAAAGAAAAGGUAUUAGAUCAUUUUUGUUCAGCUUCUCAUCAACUUUAACUAAUAUAACAUUAACCUUAAUCGAUAACGAUGAUAAUAACUGAUGAAGAUGAAUAUAACUGCUGUUAUGAUCACUGAGAGACCUGAUUACUGGCCGAUGAUUAGGACGAAGAUGAUCACCGAUCGAUCAUAGUUUUCUAUCGACAAAGAGAUGAUCCAUUUUUGUCCCGUGAUGAUCAUCAGGAAAUGUUGCAAAGAUGAAACAUGUUAUUACAUAAAUAGAAAUGAUAUGAUAAUCAUUUGCUCACCUUUUCCCAAGAUGAUUCCCUGUAAACUAUAACACCAACAACAACAACAAUUGGAUGAUAAUGAUGACCUAUGAAUUAAAUUAAACCAGUCAAGUCCUUAUGUUAACGGGGUGACCUGGGAACCUCAACAAGGAAAAAAAGAUGAUGAGGAUAAAGAUGAAGAUGGGAUCGGUCUGUCUUUAUUUCUCUCUCUCUCUCUCUCUCUCUGGAAAUGACCCUUAGGUGAUCAAUCAGCAAUCUAAGGUGAAUGUAAGAAAAGUCUUGAUAGCGGUUUUGUUACCUGUAACUUUCUUUACUUCCCUUUACCUUUACACUUAAGGUCAUCUUUAAAAUGUUACCUUUACUCUUGGCUAAUAAUAUGUAAUAAUCACAAUGACGAUGAUGAUGAUAUGUAUUAUUAUUAGCUGAAUAUGCUAAUCAUUUGGUAAUAUUUUUGCUUCCCUGUUUAACAAUCAAUUGAAUGUUAGUUAAGUGGGAACAGGAAGAAAUAUAUAUUCAAGUGAUUCCAAUUUAAAUAACAAUUUAAUCUUGGUGGUCAAAAUAGUGUUCAUUUUAAAUUAGAACAAAUUUUUCUCUUAACUUUUCAAUUUUCUCAAUAUAAGUGUUGAUACAACUUCGAUAUUUGAUCUCGAGUUAACCAAAACUCCAUAAAUAUAUCUGACCUAUGAUAUACUGUAA
This is a long non-coding RNA of Panonychus citri (citrus red mite), 3903 nucleotides long. RefSeq lists it as uncharacterized. The transcript is spliced from 7 exons. The record is from RefSeq and is a predicted model, not a curated record. Lineage: Eukaryota; Metazoa; Arthropoda; Arachnida; Trombidiformes; Tetranychidae.